Hemiscyllium ocellatum (epaulette shark) is the source of this 3173-nucleotide non-coding RNA. NCBI's taxonomy places the organism in Eukaryota, Metazoa, Chordata, Chondrichthyes, Orectolobiformes, Hemiscylliidae. The record is from the annotation of a RefSeq genome assembly.
UGGGAUUAUUCACUGCUAAUUCCUGGCACUGGCGAUACGAUGGGAAAAGGAGCUCGGGACAUGAACAAAGAUCUCUCUGGACUGAAACAGGAGAGGGCAGUCCCUGGGCAGGGAGAAUCAGAGCAGCAUUACUCACUUGGAGCAGUGUCAGUGUGAUCGGGUUAAAUGUGAAGUGACUGGACUCAGUGUCAGGGAAAGGGGAGGAGGUUCAGGUAUGGCUCCCUAUCACAGUGUCUAUAUAUAACUGGGUGGCACAGUGAGAGAGAUGGGGGCUCUCCCCAUUCAAAAACCUGUCACUGGAAAUCUAUUUAAACUGCUCUCUCCGGGUGCUAUCACUGGCUUUACUUCCUGAGCUGUGGAUAUAAAUCAGAUCCAAUUCAAUAAUCUGGGUGUGGGAACAACUUUCUGUGAAGAUAUCAUUUGAAAGAUGGAAGGAGCAGUGAGGAACAGAGAGAGGAUGAUGGAGAAUGAAAACUCCUUGUGGAUUCCCCAAGUUCCCAUACGGCCCUGAAAACCCCCGGCAUUGACUCCUGGAGUGUGGGAGACACUUGGAUACAGACUGGGGAGUUCAUGAAGCUACCGCCCACUUGUUUGGGACAUUUGAUUUUGGGUUGGAUCCUGUAGCUGUGGUUUCUGAGCCCGGCUGAAACACUGUGAUGGAUAUACUACCACAGCAGCACAAAGCCUGACACAAACUGUCCCGCUCCUAAUGACUGUGUGUAUCCAUGGAUUUCACAUUCCUGUUUCCCAGAGUGAAAUAUCUAAACACUGACUGGGAUUGUCAGGGAAAAUGUCGAUUCCUGGGAGAAAACAAGACAAAAAAGAGGCGAUUCUUUUUAUGGAUAACUUGCAGGAGCUGGUGUACCACAGACAGGAAAACUGUAAAAACACCUCAUUUACAGAUACAUUUGAGACAGGAUUAGGAUGGAAUUUCAGAUGAAAAUACAGGAAGUUGCUGCUCCGGGUUAAAACACAGUUUAUGUUUAAUUCCCUGGGGAUUAUUAUAUAUCGAGCUUCGGGUCAGUUAUUGUAUUGGGUGAAUGAAGAGACAGAGCACAGUGCUCAGGUACUGGGGGAGCGGGACCUUCCUGGAAGUGACUUCAGAUGUCCAGAUCAAACCUUCAGUUUAUGCUUCCAGUACUUACUGUGAGACAAGCUCCAACCAAGAUGAGAUCAGCCUCCUCUGUCUAGUCAAGGAUUUUCAGCCCAAGAGCAUCGAUCAGACAUGGUCCAGUGACAAUGGAAUGAUCACAACUGGAGUCAUGAACUAUCCAGCAGUCUUGGGGCAAAAUAUGACGUACACAAUGAGCAGUGUGAUCAAAGUCUCUGCAAGAGAUUGGAAUGCCAACAAGGUCUACCAUUGCAAAGCGGGUUACAAGUCAAAUGAAAUGGUGACAGCCGAGCUCAAAAAGCCUACACCUCCCCACGUCUUCUCUGUUGUUCCAUCUCCGGAGGUUGUCUACAAUCAAACUACUGCUGCCCUGGGGUGCAUGCUAUCUGGAUUCUAUCCUGACAGUGUACAGGUUUCCUGGUUUAAAGCUGGAGUGCUCCAGUCAGGUACCAAACUCCCUUCCAAAAAGGGAAAAGGCAAUAUGUUUGAAACAGUCUCUUAUCUGACUGUCCAGGUGGCAGAUUGGAAGAAAGGGGAUAACUACACUUGUGAAGUGACCCAUGAGGCUACAAGCUUCAAUAUCAGGAUCAACAUGUCGUACCAAAAGGAAAUGUCUAUUUUUAUCCGAAAUCCUUCUAUUGUGGAGAUUUGGAUCAAUAAGACUGCUACUGUGGAGUGCACAGUGGUCUGUUCUGAUCCAAGCCAGGUUCAGAUCUCCUGGGAAGUGAGUGGUAAGAAGAGACAUGAAGUGAUUAAGACUCAGCGGCUAAUACAAGAAGGAAGCUUACCCACGGUCAUCAGUCAACUCCAAACCAGUGUUGAGGAGUGGGAGAGUGGGGUCGAUUUUGUGUGCUCUGCCCAAAGUGCUUCCUCAUCCUCACUGAUGUCAAAGAAAAUACGUGGAGUAAAAGUUGAGCCAAAAAGUCCCAAGGUCAGACUGCUGCUUGUACCACCGCAAGACAGCAAGGAUAAAAACACAAUCACAUUUGUGUGUGUGAUCACCGAGUUCUACCCGGACCUCGUAAACGUCUCCUGGGAGAAAGACGGCACUCUGAUCUCCUCCAACACCAGCGCUGGACUGACUGCUCUAGAACAGGCACUGACAUUUCGUGUCAGGCAUUACCUGACUGUGAGUGCAGAGGAGUGGAGGAAAGGCUCAGUUGUUGUCUGUACAGUGUUUCAUCCCUCCUCCAAUUCCACCAUCAGUGCCAGACUGAAGAACAUCGAAGAUGAAUGUUUGGAUUCCAGAAUCUCGGUCACCAUAAGCAAGCCUCCAUUUGAAGAGAUCUGGAGGAACAGAACAGCAACCAUUCUUUGUGAAGUACUUCACACUGAUUUAGAGGGAGUCAGGGUAACCUGGAAAGUCGAUGGAAUCAUGAGACAAGAUGGAGUGAAGACCCAGGGUCCCAAGAAGGAUGGACAUAAAGAGAUCAUCUUCAGUAGACUUACAGUCCCUGCUACAGAGUGGGAGAGUGGGGUAGAGUGUAUGUGUUUGGUGGAGGACAGAAGUUUACCAACGCCAGAGAAGAGGUCAAUCAGGAAAGCCCAAGUUGAUGUUAAGACUCACCCUCAAGUCUUUCUCCUGCUCCCUUCACCGGAUGAGAUGGAGACUGCUCACACUACAACCCUGGUUUGCCUGGUCACUGGAUUCUCUCCCGCAGAGAUCGACCUGGUUUGGAUGGCCAAUGAUACCCUUCUGAAGACAGGGUUCAUGCACCAGCCAGUGACCGAGGACGGCAGAGGUGGCUGGAAUUCAGGCAGUCACUUGACGGUCUCUGCAGAGGAGUGGAACAGCGGCACCACGUACUCCUGUGUGGUGGGACACGAGUCAGUUACAACAAAUGUGUUCAGAAGCAUUAAUAAAUCUCACAGUAAAGCCAACCUGGUUAAUGUCUCACUUGUUCUAACUGAUAGCUAUAACUCCUGUUCAUAACAUCUGCUGAUUUAUACAAUCAUCCAUUUAUAUAAUCCCUGUAAAUGGAUGGUUAACACAACCAGAAAACCGUUGUGAGCACUUUGAAACCUCUCUUCUGGUAGCAAUGUGCUUCAAACAUGAACAAAU